GGGCUUAACCAGAUGCGAGCUGGGGUCUGUACUCUGUAUUUAUUUUCCCUCUCUUGAAAUUAUAUGUUUUCAAUAUCGUUGCCAGCUGCAGGUUUAUCAAACUAAAAAAAAAAAAUGAAGUAUUAAUCCUUCUAUAGUGAUAUUUGUUGGUCUUUUCAAAUUUAUAAUUCUUCUUAUGUACUUUUAGUGCUGCAUAUAAUUGUAGGAAAAAGAGGCUGUUAUUAUGGGACUAUGUCAACCAUGAGAAUAUUUCCUCAGUUGUACCCAUCAUAACUGAAUCAAGUCUUGUGCCUUUCUCUGCUUUGUUUUGGUUAUCAUUUAAUCUUCUAAUAUUAAUGUGGUCAUGAGAAAUUUAAUUUAUUAAUAUUUAUUUAGAUUUUUUUAAUUGAUUAUAGUUAAUGAAAUUUUAUGAUGUUCUUUUUUUUUUAUUUUUUUUUAUU
This 440-nucleotide unclassified non-coding RNA is filed under the name Hevea brasiliensis (rubber tree). The record is from RNAcentral. Lineage: Eukaryota; Viridiplantae; Streptophyta; Magnoliopsida; Malpighiales; Euphorbiaceae.